Molecule: small nuclear RNA, 20 nt
Filed under: Arabidopsis thaliana (thale cress)
Lineage: Eukaryota; Viridiplantae; Streptophyta; Magnoliopsida; Brassicales; Brassicaceae
Description: snRNA_13694
Source: RNAcentral
AGUUUUUUAGCAGUAACAGA